RNAcentral lists this ribosomal RNA (495 nucleotides) under uncultured bacterium. RNAcentral's name for it is "partial 16S ribosomal RNA". It matches the Rfam family "Bacterial small subunit ribosomal RNA", at positions 28 to 507 of the family's 1533-position model. The record is from RNAcentral.
GACGAACGCUGGCGGCGUGCCUAAUACAUGCAAGUAGAACGCUGAAGGAGGAGCUUGCUUCUCUGGAUGAGUUGCGAACGGGUGAGUAACGCGUAGGUAACCUGCCUGGUAGCGGGGGAUAACUAUUGGAAACGAUAGCUAAUACCGCAUAAUAGUAGAUGUUGCAUGACAUUUGCUUAAAAGGUGCAAUUGCAUCACUACCAGAUGGACCUGCGUUGUAUUAGCUAGUUGGUGGGGUAACGGCGCACCAAGGCGACGAUACAUAGCCGACCGGAGAGGGUGAUCGGCCACACUGGGAGUGAGACACGGCCCAGACUCCUACGGGAGGCAGCAGUAGGGAAUCUUCGGCAAUGGACGGAAGUCUGACCGAGCAACGCCGCGUGAGUGAAGAAGGUUGUCGGAUCGUAAAGCUCUGUUGUAAGAGAAGAACGAGUGUGAGAGUGGAAAGUUCACACUGUGACGGUAGCUUACCAGAAAGGGACGGCUAACUACGUG